GGCCCGCACAAGCAGUGGAGCAUGUGGUUUAAUUCGAUGCAACGCGAAGAACCUUACCAGGGUUUGACAUCCUGCGAAUCUCCUGGAAACGGGAGAGUGCCUUCGGGAACGCAGUGACAGGUGGUGCAUGGCUGUCGUCAGCUCGUGUCGUGAGAUGUUGGGUUAAGUCCCGCAACGAGCGCAACCCACGUCUUUAGUUGCCAGCAUUUAGUUGGGCACUCUAGAGAGACCGCCGGUGAUAAACCGGAGAAGGUGUGGAUGACGUCAAGUCAUCAUGCCCCUUACAUCUGGGCUACACACGUACUACAAUGCUACGGACAAAGGGCAGCAAGUUCGCGAGGACAAGCAAAUCCCAUAAACGUGGCUCAGUUCAGA
RNAcentral lists this ribosomal RNA (375 nucleotides) under uncultured bacterium. RNAcentral describes it as "bacterial SSU rRNA". It matches the Rfam family "Bacterial small subunit ribosomal RNA", at positions 918 to 1297 of the family's 1533-position model. The record is from RNAcentral.